This 481-nucleotide ribosomal RNA is filed under the name uncultured bacterium. Its description in RNAcentral is "partial 16S ribosomal RNA". It matches the Rfam family "Bacterial small subunit ribosomal RNA", at positions 28 to 523 of the family's 1533-position model. The record is from RNAcentral.
GACGAAUGCUGGCUGCGUGCUUAACACAUGCAAGUCGAACGGUGAAGGAGGGCUUGCCCUCCGGAUCAGUGGCGAACGGGUGAGUAACACGUGGGCAACCUGCCCCUCACUCUGGGAUAACGCCGGGAAACCGGCGCUAAUACCGGAUACGACCAGGCGCGACAGCUCGCCUGGUGGCAAGAAGUUCGGUAAGGGAUGGGCCCGCGGCCUAUCAGCUUGUUGGUGGGGUAACGGCCCACCAAGGCGACGACGGGUAGCCGGCCUGAGAGGGCGACCGGCCACACUGGGACUGAGACACGGCCCAGACUCCUACGGGAGGCAGCAGUGGGGAAUAUUGCGCAAUGGGCGAAAGCCUGACGCAGCGACGCAGCGUGAGGGACGAAGGCCUUCGGGUUGUAAACCUCUUUCAGCGGGGACGAAGCGAAAGUGACGGUACCCGCAGAAGAAGCACCGGCUAACUACGUGCCAGCCGCCGCCGUAA